CUUCAUGAAACUUAACAGGCUUAGGAAAAUUACAAGACUUAACAGACCUCUUUCAGAGUUUGUAUCAGCAGUAAUUUCUGGGGAAUGGGAGACUCUUCUAGGGAGUUUCCUUCACUUUAUGCAGGGCACACCUGUGACACAGCUUCCCU
Molecule: small nuclear RNA, 149 nt
Filed under: Brugia malayi
Lineage: Eukaryota; Metazoa; Nematoda; Chromadorea; Rhabditida; Onchocercidae
Description: RNA transcript Bm16829
Source: RNAcentral